UGGCGACCGGCGCACGGGUGAGUAACACGUAUCCAACCUGCCGAUGACUCGGGGAUAGCCUUUCGAAAGAAAGAUUAAUACCCGAUGGCAUAGUUCUUCCGCAUGGUAGAACUAUUAAAGAACUUCGGUCAUCGAUGGGGAUGCGUUCCAUUAGCUUGUUGGCGGGGUAACGGCCCACCAAGGCAUCGAUGGAAUAGGGGUUCUGAGAGGAAGGUCCCCCACAUUGGAACUGAGACACGGUCCAAACUCCUACGGAAGGCAGCAG
RNAcentral lists this ribosomal RNA (265 nucleotides) under uncultured bacterium. RNAcentral describes it as "partial 16S ribosomal RNA". It matches the Rfam family "Bacterial small subunit ribosomal RNA", at positions 89 to 354 of the family's 1533-position model. The record is from RNAcentral.